UACGGAAGGCAGCAGUAGGGAAUCUUCCGCAAUGGACGAAAGUCUGACGGAGCAACGCCGCGUGAACGAUGAAGGCUUUCGGGUCGUAAAGUUCUGUUGUUAGGGAAGAACAAGUACCGGAGUAACUGCCGGUACCUUGACGGUACCUAACCAGAAAGCCACGGCUAACUACGUGCCAGCAGCCGCGGUAAUACGUAGGUGGCAAGCGUUGUCCGGAAUUAUUGGGCGUAAAGCGCGCGCAGGCGGUCCUUUAAGUCUGAUGUGAAAGCCCACGGCUCAACCGUGGAGGGUCAUUGGAAACUGGGGACUUGAGUGCAGAAGAGGAGAGUGGAAUUCCACGUGUAGCGGUGAAAUGCGUAGAGAUGUGGAGGAACACCAGUGGCGAAGGCGACUCUCUGGUCUGUAACUGACGCUGAGGCGCGAAAGCGUGGGGAGCGAACAGGGAUUAGAUACCCGU
Molecule: ribosomal RNA, 457 nt
Filed under: uncultured bacterium
Lineage: Bacteria
Description: bacterial SSU rRNA
Rfam family: Bacterial small subunit ribosomal RNA
Source: RNAcentral